GCCUAUACAUGCAAGUCGAACGAGUUCCCGUUGAUUGACGUGCUUGCACUGAUUUCAACAUUGGAACGAGUGGCGAACUGGUGAGUAACACGUGGAAAACCUGCCCAGAAGCAGGGGAUAACACUUGGAAACAGGUGCUAAUACCGUAUAACAACAAAAACCGCAUGGUUUUUGUUUGAAAGGUGGCUUCGGCUAUCACUUCUGGAUGGUUCCGCGGCGCAUUAGCUUGUUGGUGGGGUAACGGCUCACCAAGGCGAUGAUGCGUAGCCGACCUGAGAGGGUAAUCGGCCACAUUGGGACUGAGACACGGCCCAGACUCCUACGGGAGGCAGCAGUAGGGAAUCUUCCACAAUGGACGCAAGUCUGAUGGAGCAAUGCCGCGUGAGUGAAGAAGGGUUUCGGCUCGUAAAACUCUGUUGUUGAAGAAGAACGGGUGUCAGAGUAACUGUUGACAUCGUGACGGUAUUCAACCAGAAAGCCACGGCUAACUACGUGCCAGCAGCCGCGGUAAUACGUAGGUGGCAAGCGUUGUCCGGAUUUAUUGGGCGUAAAGCGAGCGCAGGCGGUUUCUUAAGUCUGAUGUGAAAGCCUUCGGCUUAACCGAAGAAGUGCAUCGGAAACUGGGGAACUUGAGUGCAGAAGAGGACAGUGGAACUCCAUGUGUAGCGGUGGAAUGCGUAUAUAUAUGGAAGAACACCACUGGCGAAGGCGGCUGUCUAGUCUGCAACUGACACUGAGGCUCGAAAGCAUGGGUAGCGAACAGGAUUAUAUACCCUGGUAGUCCCUGCCCUAGACGAUGAGUGCUACGUGUUGGGAGGGUUUUCUUCCCCUCUUUGCCGCAGCUAACGCAUGUAUAACUCCACGUUGUUGAGUACGACCGCAAGGUAGAACCUCGCACGGCAUUGUUGGGCGGCCGCAUCCAGCGUAGCAGCGGCGCCGUUUAGUUUUUUACCGACGCCUAGGAACAUAAACAUGGCCUGGGCUUUCUCCUUCUAAAUCCUCACUAUAAGACA
RNAcentral lists this ribosomal RNA (1013 nucleotides) under Levilactobacillus namurensis. Its description in RNAcentral is "bacterial SSU rRNA". It matches the Rfam family "Bacterial small subunit ribosomal RNA", at positions 46 to 1016 of the family's 1533-position model. The record is from RNAcentral. Lineage: Bacteria; Bacillati; Bacillota; Bacilli; Lactobacillales; Lactobacillaceae.